AAGUCGUAACAAGGUUUCCGUAGGUGAACCUGCGGAAGGAUCAUUACCAAAUCCAAAUACCCAAACCCCAUGUGAACUAUUGUUUUUAGUCUGUCUUUGGGAGAAAAUAGCGAAAAUGUAUAUUUAAGAGUUCAUUCUCAUAUUAUAUUUUGGAGCUGUUUCUCCCAAUAGAGUCCGGCGCAAUCUUUUUGAUUUGUGUCCAGAUUCGAAAACCCCCUUUUUAUAAACCACUUGAUUUUUCUGUUGGAAUUUCUUUUAUUAAUUUCAAAUAAAAGACAACUUUUAACGGUGGAUCUCUUGGCUCGUG
RNAcentral lists this unclassified non-coding RNA (307 nucleotides) under fungal sp. Its description in RNAcentral is "partial internal transcribed spacer region". The stretch from base 1 to 46 matches the Rfam family "Eukaryotic small subunit ribosomal RNA", at positions 1786 to 1831 of the family's 1831-position model. The record is from RNAcentral. Lineage: Eukaryota; Fungi.